CCUACGGGAGGCAGCAGUGAGGAAUAUUGGUCAAUGGACGCAAGUCUGAACCAGCCAUGCCGCGUGCAGGAAGACGGCUCUAUGAGUUGUAAACUGCUUUUGUACGAGGGUAAACGCAGAUACGUGUAUCUGGCUGAAAGUAGCGUACGAAUAAGGAUCGGCUAACUCCGUGCCAGCAGCCGCGGUAAUACGGAGGAUUCAAGCGUUAUCCGGCUUUAUUGGGUUUCAAGGGUGCGUAGGCGGUCGGAUAAGUUAGAGGUGAAAUCCCGAGGCUCAACUUCGGAAUUGCCUCUGAUACGGUUCGGCUAGAGUGUAGUUGCGGUAGGCGGAAUGUUUGGUGUAGCGG
RNAcentral lists this ribosomal RNA (346 nucleotides) under uncultured bacterium. RNAcentral's name for it is "partial 16S ribosomal RNA". It matches the Rfam family "Bacterial small subunit ribosomal RNA", at positions 338 to 681 of the family's 1533-position model. The record is from RNAcentral.